Molecule: non-coding RNA, 183 nt
Filed under: Desulfoscipio geothermicus
Lineage: Bacteria; Bacillati; Bacillota; Clostridia; Eubacteriales; Desulfallaceae
Also listed under: 1 other name
Description: 6S / SsrS RNA
Rfam family: 6S / SsrS RNA
About the family: E. coli 6S RNA was the first non coding RNA to be sequenced, but its function was unknown until recently. It consists of 184 nucleotides that fold into an extended hairpin structure with a large single-stranded internal bulge. The 6S RNA specifically associates with RNA polymerase holoenzyme containing the sigma70 specificity factor.
Source: RNAcentral
AUCACCCUGCGGUGUGCGUGAUCGCCUUGAAGUUUUGAGCCAACACCAAUUUAAAGGGAGCCUGGCCUCUGGAUGUAGAUUGUAUGACUUCCUGGGGAGUAAACGAGAAGCAUUCAGGAGGGCACCCACCUGUUGAGAACAGGUUCAGAAAACUUUGGGGAUUAACGGCACCUCGGGGGUUGU